GAUGAACGCUGGCGGCGUGCAUAACACAUUCAAGUCGAACGAGGUAGCAAUACCUAGUGGCGGACGGGUGAGUAACGCGUGAGCAACCUGCCCUUGUGUGGGGGAUACCGUCUGGAAACGGACGUUAAUACCGCAUAAUGUAGUGAGAUCGCAUGGUCUUAUUACCAAAGAUUUAUUGCGCAAGGAUGGGCUCGCGUUGGAUUAGAUAGUUGGUGAGGUAACGGCCCACCAAGUCUGCGAUCCAUAGCCGGACUGAGAGGUUGAACGGCCACAUUGGAACUGAGAUACGGUCCAGACUCCUACGGGAGGCAGCAGUGGGGAAUAUUGGGCAAUGGGCGAAAGCCUGACCCAGCGACGCCGCGUGAAGGAAGAAGGUCUUCGGAUUGUAAACUUCUUUUAUUAGGGACGAACAGAUGACGGUACCUAAUGAAUAAAGCCACGGCUAACUACGUG
RNAcentral lists this ribosomal RNA (453 nucleotides) under uncultured bacterium. Its description in RNAcentral is "bacterial SSU rRNA". It matches the Rfam family "Bacterial small subunit ribosomal RNA", at positions 28 to 507 of the family's 1533-position model. The record is from RNAcentral.